Molecule: unclassified non-coding RNA, 330 nt
Organism: Vicugna pacos (alpaca)
Lineage: Eukaryota; Metazoa; Chordata; Mammalia; Artiodactyla; Camelidae
Gene: 7SK
Rfam family: 7SK RNA
About the family: 7SK was discovered as an abundant small nuclear RNA in the mid-70s but a possible function has only recently been suggested. Two independent studies have found that 7SK RNA binds the CDK9/cyclin T complex (known as elongation factor P-TEFb).
Source: Ensembl
AAAUAUGAGGAUGAUCUGACUGUGACAUCCAUCACUCCAUUUAUCUUCAGGAUUGAUUCGGCUGAUCUGGCUGGCUAGGCAGCUGUCCCUCCAGCCUCAUCACUACAUGUGUGUUCCUCCCAUAGCUGCAGCGUACUCUGUCAAAGGGGACAGUGUUCCCUGAUGGAGGAGGAUCACUCUUUGGUCUAGGGUAUAUGAGUAGCUAUGCUCCCCUACUAGAACCCCAAGCAAGCUCUGUAAGGUCCAUUUGUAGGAGAAUGUUGGGUAGUCAAGCUUCCAAACUCCAGACACACCCAACUGAGGUGCCACCUGUGGCAAUCUGCCUUUCUU